Molecule: ribosomal RNA, 255 nt
Filed under: uncultured bacterium
Lineage: Bacteria
Description: partial 16S ribosomal RNA
Rfam family: Bacterial small subunit ribosomal RNA
Source: RNAcentral
UACGUAGGGUGCAAGCGUUAAUCGGAAUUACUGGGCGUAAAGCGUGCGCAGGCGGUUAUGUAAGACAGGUGUGAAAUCCCCGGGCUUAACCUGGGAACUGCAUUUGUGACUGCAUAGCUAGAGUACGGUAGAGGGGGGAUGGAAUUCCGGCGUGUAGCAGUGAAAUGCGUAGAUAUGCGGAGGAACACCGAUGGCGAAGGCAAUCCCCUGGGCCUGCACUGACGCUCAUGCACGAAGCGUGGGGAGCAAACAGGA